Molecule: ribosomal RNA, 393 nt
Filed under: uncultured Sphingobacteriales bacterium
Lineage: Bacteria; Pseudomonadati; Bacteroidota; Sphingobacteriia; Sphingobacteriales
Description: bacterial SSU rRNA
Rfam family: Bacterial small subunit ribosomal RNA
Source: RNAcentral
UGACUGUAGGUGGAAAGACUUACUAUCUCUUUCGGAGCAUUUUACGAGGUGCUGCAUGGUUGUCGUCAGCUCGUGCCGUGAGGUGUCGGGUUAAGUCCCAUAACGAGCGCAACCCCUACCUUUAGUUGCCAUCAGGUAAUGCUGGGGACUCUAAAGGAACUGCCUACGCAAGUAGUGAGGAAGGCGGGGAUGACGUCAAAUCAGCACGGCCCUUACGUCCAGGGCUACACACGUGCUACAAUGGCCGAUACAGAGGGCAGCUACCUGGUGACAGGAUGCAAAUCUCCAAAGUCGGUCUCAGUUCGGAUCGGAGUCUGCAACCCGACUCCGUGAAGUUGGAUUCGCUAGUAAUCGCGCAUCAGCCAUGGCGCGGUGAAUACGUUCCCGGGCCUU